This 533-nucleotide long non-coding RNA is filed under the name Homo sapiens (human). RNAcentral's name for it is "non-protein coding lnc-AMN1-3:1". Lineage: Eukaryota; Metazoa; Chordata; Mammalia; Primates; Hominidae. The record is from RNAcentral.
GUCCCUGAGCUGAUAGCACAAGAGGCAGAUGUUCAUGCAGUGAUGGCGGAUGGCUGGACACCCCUGCACAGUACUUGCAAGUGGUACCAGAGUGGCUUCUUUCUUACCUCAGUGUGAUGCAGAUAUCAAUGCCCAAACAAAAGCCUUUUUUUUUUUUUUUUUUUUUUUUUUUUUGAGACAGAGUCUUGCUCUGUCACCCAGGCUUGGGUGCAGUGGUGCAAUCUGCGCUCACUGCAACCUCCACCUCCCAGGUUCAAGCUAUCUUCCUGCCUCAGCCUCCCAAGUAGCUGGGACUACAGGCACACGCCGCCACACCCAGUUAAUCAAACCAAAGCCUCUUGACCCCUUUGCAUCUUGCUGCUGGGAAAGGAGACAGCAAAGAUAACCUAGAACUCCUCCUGAUGAACCAUUACAUCAAACCAGGGCUGAAAAACAACUUCAAAGAAACGGCAUUUGAUAUUGCCAGGAGGACAAGUAUCUAUCACUCCUUCUUUGUAAUGGUGGAAGGCUAUACAAAUUCUUCACCUCAGUCU